RNAcentral lists this ribosomal RNA (992 nucleotides) under Carrikerella sp. MN562. Its description in RNAcentral is "SSU rRNA". It matches the Rfam family "Eukaryotic small subunit ribosomal RNA", at positions 52 to 989 of the family's 1831-position model. Lineage: Eukaryota; Metazoa; Arthropoda; Insecta; Mantodea; Thespidae. The record is from RNAcentral.
UGCAUGUCUCAGUGCAAGCCGAAUAAGGUGAACCGCGAAUGGCUCAUUAAAUCAGUUAUGGUUCCUUAGAUGGUGCACAGCUACAUGGAUAACUGUGGUAAUUCUAGAGCUAAUACAUGCAACUCGGUCCCGACCGGCGACGGAAGGGACGCUUUUAUUAGAUCAAAACCAAUCGGUCUUCGGGCCGUUUGCCUUGGUGACUCUGAAUAAAUUGUGGCAGAUCGCACGGCCUCCGAGCCGGCGACGCAUCUUUCAAAUGUCUGCCUUAUCAACUGUCGAUGGUAGGUUCUGCGCCUACCAUGGUUGUAACGGGUAACGGGGAAUCAGGGUUCGAUUCCGGAGAGGGAGCCUGAGAAACGGCUACCACAUCCAAGGAAGGCAGCAGGCGCGCAAAUUACCCACUCCCGGCACGGGGAGGUAGUGACGAAAAAUAACGAUACGGGACUCAUCCGAGGCCCCGUAAUCGGAAUGAGUACACUUUAAAUCCUUUAACGAGUAUCAAUUGGAGGGCAAGUCUGGUGCCAGCAGCCGCGGUAAUUCCAGCUCCAAUAGCGUAUAUUAAAGUUGUUGCGGUUAAAAAGCUCGUAGUCGGACUUGUGUCCCACGCUGCCGGUUCACCGCCCGUCGGUGUCUAACUGGCAUGCACGUGUGGACGUCCUGCCGGUGGCCAGAUCCGGCGCGGGUCUCGACCUGUCGUCCGGGGAAGGCCUAUCAUACCCGUCGCGGUGCUCUUAACCGAGUGUCUCGAUGGGCCGGCACGUUUACUUUGAACAAAUUAGAGUGCUUAAAGCAGGCAGCAUCCGCCUGAAUACCGAGUGCAUGGAAUAAUGGAAUAGGACCUCGGUUCUAUUUUGUUGGUUUUCGGAAUCUCCGAGGUAAUGAUCAAUAGGGACAGACGGGGGCAUUCGUAUUGCGACKUUUGAGGUGAAAUUCUUGUAUCGUCGCAUGACGGACCUAAGCGAAAGCAUUUGCCAAGAAUGUUUUCUCUGAUC